CCCGUACUGAUGUCAGUGUUCACUGUAGGUGUGGCCCAUACUGAUGUACGUGUUCACUGUAGAUGGGGCCCGUACUGAUGUCAGUGUUCACUGUAGGUGUGGCCUGUAUUGAUGUCAGUGUUCACUGUAGGUGUGGCCCAUACUGAUGUCAGUGUUCACUAUAGGUGUGGCCCAUACUGAUGUCAGUGUUCACUGUAGGUGUGGCCCGUACUGAUGUAAGUGUUCACUGUAGGUGUGGCCCGUACUGAUGUAAGUGUUCACUGUAGGUGUGGCCUGUAUUGAUGUCAGUGUUCACUGUAGGUGUGGCCCGUACUGAUGUACGUGUUCACUGUAGAUGGGGCCCGUACUGAUGUCAGUGUUCACUGUAGGUGUGGCCCGUACUGAUGUAAGUGUUCACUGUAGAUGUGGCCUGUACUGAUGUCAGUGUUCACUGUAGGUGUGGCCCGUACUGAUGUCAGUGUUCACUGUAGGUGUGGCCCGUACUGAUGUCAGUGUUCACUGUAGGUGGGGCCCGUACUGAUGUAUGUGUUCACUGUAGAUGUGGCCCAUACUGAUGUAAGUGUUCACAGUAGAUGGGGCCCGUACUGAUGUCAGUGUUCACUGUAGGUGUGGCCUGUACUUAUGUAAGUGUUCACUGUAGAUGUGGCAUGUACUUAUGUAAGUGUUCACUGUAGGUGGGGCCUGUACUGAUGUAUGUGUUCACUGUAGGUGUGGCCUGUACUUAUGUAAGUGUUCACUGUAGGUGGGGCCUGUACUGAUGUAUGUGUUCACUGUAGGUUUGGCCCGUACUGAUGUCAGUGUUCACUGUAGGUGGGGCCCAUACUGAUGUCAGUGUUCACUGUAGGUGGGGCCUGUAUUGAUGUCAGUGUUCACUGUAGGUGGGGCCCGUACUGAUGUCAGUGUUCACUGUAGGUGGGGCCCGUACUGAUGUCAGUGUUCACUGUAGGUGUGGCCCGUACUGAUGUCAGUGUUCACUGUAGGUGGGGCCUGUACUGAUGUCAGUGUUCACUGUAGGUGUGGCCUGUAUUGAUGUCAGUGUUCACUGUAGGUGUUGCCCGUACUGAUGUAAGUGUUCACUGUAGGUGUGGCCCGUACUGAUGUAAGUGUUCACUGUAGAUGUGGCCUGUAUUGAUGUAAGUGUUCACUGUAGAUGUGGCCCAUACUGAUGUCAGUGUACACUGUAGGUGUGGCCCGUACUGAUGUAAGUGUUCACUGUAGGUGUGGCCUGUAUUGAUGUAAGUGUUCACUGUAGAUGUGGCCUGUAUUGAUGUAAGUGUUCACUGUAGGUGUGGCCCGUACUGAUGUACGUGUUCACUGUAGGUGUGGCCCGUACUGAUGUAAGUGUUCACUGUAGGUGUGGCCAUUACUGAUGUAAGUGUUCACUGUAGGUGUUGCCCGUACUGAUGUACGUGUUCACUGUAGAUGUGGCCUGUAUUGAUGUAAGUGUUCACUGUAGAUGGGGCCCGUACUGAUGUAAGUGUUCACUGUAGGUGGGGCCCGUACUGAUGUAAGUGUUCACUGUAGGUGGGGCCCGUACUGAUGUAAGUGUUCACUGUAGGUGUGGCAUGUACUGAUGUACGUGUUCACUGUAGGUGUGGCCUGUAUUGAUGUAAGUGUUCACUGUAGGUGUGGCCCGUACUGAUGUCAGUGUUCACUGUAGGUGGGGCCCGUACUGAUGUAAGUGUUCACUGUAGGUGUGGCCUGUACUGAUGUAUGUGUUCACUGUAGAUGUGGCCUGUAUUGAUGUAAGUGUUCACUGUAGGUGUGGCCUGUACUGAUGUAUGUGUUCACUGUAGGUGUGGCCCGUACUGAUGUAAGUGUUCACUGUAGGUGUGGCCCGUACUGAUGUAAGUGUUCACUGUAGGUGUGGCCCGUACUGAUGUCAGUGUUCACUGUAGGUGUGGCCUGUACUGAUGUAAGUGUUCACUGUAGGUGUGGCCUGUACUGAUGUAAGUGUUCACUGUAGGUGUGGCCCGUACUGAUAUAAGUGUUCACUGUAGGUGUGGCCUGUACUGAUAUAAGUGUUCACUGUAGGUGUGGCCCGUACUGAUGUAUGUGUUCACUGUAGGUGUGGCCUGUACUGAUGUCAGUGUUCACUGUAGGUGUGGCCCGUACUGAUGUAAGUGUUCACUGUAGGUGUGGCCUGUACUGAUGUAAGUGUUCACUGUAGGUGUGGCCUGUACUGAUAUAAGUGUUCACUGUAGGUGUGGCCCGUACUGAUAUAAGUGUUCACUGUAGGUGUGGCCUGUACUGAUGUAUGUGUUCACUGUAGGUGUGGCCUGUACUGAUGUCAGUGUUCACUGUAGGUGUGGCCUGUACUGAUGUAAGUGUUCACUGUACUGAUGUACGUGUUCACUGUAGGUGUGGCCCGUACUGAUGUAAGUGUUCACUGUAGGUGUGACUCGAUGCUGUUGAGCAGUGUUGGACUAUGUCUAUUCUUUACCUCUUCCCUUUGUAAAUGUUAAUGAUAUGCAAUAAAAUUUAACAGGUGUUAACUCAA
Long non-coding RNA from Pecten maximus, 2500 nucleotides. RefSeq lists it as uncharacterized. The transcript has 2 exons. Lineage: Eukaryota; Metazoa; Mollusca; Bivalvia; Pectinida; Pectinidae. The record is from RefSeq and is a predicted model, not a curated record.